Long non-coding RNA from Brassica napus (rape), 6797 nucleotides. RefSeq lists it as uncharacterized. The record is from RefSeq and is a predicted model, not a curated record. The transcript is spliced from 6 exons. Lineage: Eukaryota; Viridiplantae; Streptophyta; Magnoliopsida; Brassicales; Brassicaceae.
AAAGAGACAAAAGGCUUGAAUCUUUUGGUCUGACAAUGGAUUGAUUGGUGGGUUUGACAAACGGCACGAGUGUUUCUAUGGAAAAUUUCUCAAAAACAAAAUUCGAGAACCAAAAACAAACCAAGAAUCAAAAGCUCAGAUGCCAAGACAUUAGAAGCAACUGUUGUUGUAAAGCAAGGAAAAUACAUUGCCAAUUUGGAAACUUGCAAUCUAUGCAAAUGCAAGCAAUAAGAAUUUGACUUUUGAUUCAAAAUUAGUCGCAUGAAUGGGUGUAAGCAAUUUUUUGGGUUGGGUUCUUCUAUGAGAUGCAUUACUUUCAGCGAAUCACUCUUCACUUUCUUUUUAAGCACAACACACACAAAAGACCAUCGAGGGCCACCUAGCACCUACUCCGGACAUUCUUGAACAUCCAAAACGAUUUACCCAUCUCUUAAAGCCCCCCUGAACAAGUUUUUCGUUACAUUUCAAUCAUUUCCAAGAAUACUAUGUAUGUAUACUUUUAGCAAAACAAUAAAAAAAUCUGAUAUAUUAAUUAGUAGUUAAGAAUUUAAAGAAGAAGAAAAAAAUUAACGAACAUACAGAAAAAAUAAAAUUAACCAAAUAGAAAACAACCACAAGUAAAUUACCAAUAUAGCUCAACUACAAAGGUAAGAAAAAAAAAACACAUUGUCCAUAACAUAGUUUCCCUUCCCCAAUACUACAUAUCCAUAAGUCGAGUACUACUGGCCAAAAAAAAGAACAAUAGUUUAUCUACAAUAAUCAACUACACAAUUCUUUUUCAAAAAAAAAAAAUACACAAUUGAUUUACAAUAUAAACAUUAGUGUCUUAUUAUGGAUAUAUACCAAGCAGCAAUUAAACCAAAAUAACAGAAUUGUCAAAAUAAAUAAUAUAUUCAAAUAUAUAAUUGUAGUUUUAAGUAUUUUAAUUACAUAUUUCAUUUUAAUUGUAAUUAGCUCUUCUUUAUAUAUAUAGAUUAUGUAUUCGUGAACAUAUGUUCAAUAGUAAGAUAAACGUAAUCUAUAAAAAGAAUAACAAAACAUGCCCAGUAAAUACUAAAAUCAUUUUUAAAUUUAAAAUAAGCUAAACAUCUUAAAAUAUUUUUUAAAUUGAUGAUAUAUAUGUAAUAAUUUGAUUAAUAACCCGCCCGUAGGGCGGGCCAAAUCCUAGUAGAUAGAUAGAUAGUGUUUGCCUCUCUCACGUUCGUCCACGUAGGAAAGUCGAGCGCUCUUUUGCCGCCACGUGUCACUUACUUAAACGCUUCGUACCAUUCUUUUCUCCUCCGCAAUCCGUUGGACCUACCUUCUUAUUCUGCCUGAACAUUUUGCAUUAUUAAGCCCAUAGGAUAUUUUAUUAGAGCGUGAUAUGAUAUGAUGUAUCGCGAAACCGUGCGUUUCGUAUUCUGUCUUUCAUCCUGUCUCCCAUCUCCGCCUUAGGCGAUUUAGGGUUUCCAUCGAAACUGAGUAUUCUUCCUCCUGAUCUAGCGACCAAUCGGCGCCGUAUCGACUAUACAGUUUCCAGCGAACUGUUCAUCUUCUUCUUACUGAUCAAGUAAUCAAUCGGUUAGGGAAACAUUUCUAUUGAAUUCCCUCUUUAAAUCCACCUUCCACGAUCUCUCUUCAAUUCCACUUUAGCUCUUCAAAGGCGGUGGUGGUUCCACUACAAAAAGGUUAGCGUCUCUAUAAUCUAUAGCAUCCUAUCAAUCUAUUGAAACAAAACAAUCUCCUUAUUUUCUGAAAAAAAUGGCUAAUGCUCGAGUUUUCCUUUCUGAUUUGAAAUCGGGUAGAUGUUCUGAGGUUAGGUUAUUGCGUUUCUGGGAGGCAAGGAACAUCAAGCGAGGUGAUGAACUGAUGUCCGUGGAUAUGCUCCUGCUUGAUUCGAAUGUGACUUCAAGCCAACAAACACUCACGUUUUCUAGGCCAUAUAUAACUGGUGAGCUAACAGCUGUAAAGAGUCAUGUAAGCGAUCGUCCAAAAGAUAAAGACCGUGUUAUGACAACCAUAAAAAUAGAGAGGUAUCUAUUAUUCUUAUAUAAAAAGGUUUCUACACCUUUAUAAUUGAUAACACUACUUUCUUAGACAAACACAUUGAGGAUUUGGUCCCCAUUUUUUUUAUUUGUAGUGACGUGUCUCUCACCUUGAGUGUGUUCCCACUAUCAAGUUGUGUGUUUUCACAAAAACUUGAAAGCUUUAAUACACGAGUUUUUGUUGCAACAAACUAUAAUCUCAAGAUUGUGGGAGGUAUUCUUUCAUACUGUUUUUUUUUGUGAAACCUUAUUAUGUUUUCGUAAAAUGAUGUCCACCAUGAUGCUUUUGCAAAGACUGACACCCCAUCUCCAGGAAGAUUUUUCUAAAUGCCACAUCAGGAACUCGCUAUGACAAGGAGACUGAUGCAGGAGAGAGUUAUUUUUACAAUUUCUUCACAAAUGAUACUGGGAACAUAUCAGCAGCUUCUUUGUUGAGGGUUUUGCAAAGGUUGAGCCUAUGAAAAUAGCGGAGCUUAACCAGUUUAUCAUCACUCCUCAGCCUCAAUCCAUUAAAUUUAUUUGCACUGGAAAGGUAAGGAUGGUGCUACAUCUUGGACCCUGGAGAUCACAUGCUUGGGAUCAGUUUCUCUCUCAGCGAAGAUGUUUGGAGGUGGGAAUGAGAAGGAGAACAACUCUGGCAGCAGAACUUCAACUGGUCUCAUACUGAAAAAAGCUCAGACCACAACAUCUGCCAAGGUGAAGAGUAUGAAUCAUUAUCCCUGUUCCCCCUAUUCUCUGUUGUGUUUUCUUCAGAAGAUAUUAUAAAUUAAGUUCAAGUGUAAUCCAAUGGUUAUUUUACUCCUGAUUCAUUCAACCACUUAGGUUCCUAGAUUCAGAUAUUUACUCAGCAAAACAUGUACUAAAAAAACGUAUGGCCAUAAAAUGAUAAUUUAAACACUGAAACAAAAAUAAGACGUGACGUAAGGAAAUAAAGAUUGGGCUGAACAUAUAUACUGUCUUUUAUCAUCAUGAUGUAUAUUCCUUGACUGUAUAGCUCACGAUCUCAAAUAGUUUCUUUUUUCCAUUCCUAACAUUGUUUUGGAUAUAAUUUCCCUUUUUACCUAUCUCUUUUUUUUUUAUCAAACCUCCUUUUUCCUAAGGCUUAUUUGCUAAAUAGCCAAAAAAAAAAGGGAAAUUAGAUUUUUAGAGAGAAAGUAAAGAGAGAUAGGAAGAGAAAGUAGGAGAGAUGGGGUGUUUUUAGUUAGUUAGUGAAUUUUGUUUUUUUUUUUUGUGGUUAAUGGGUGCAAUUUCCCUUUUUCCUAUCUCUCUAGCUUCUUUCUACAAAUCUUUUUUUUUGUUAUUUGGCAAAUAACAAACAAGACUGGGAGUACCUAGAUUGCUCAUUAUUCAACGCAAAAUUUUGAAAUUUGAUUCCAUAACAAACCUUAUCGUCGUCAAAACUAAAAACUGACCACCAAAACACCCAUCAUCAACCAUUGCAAGAUCUUGGCACCAACCUGGAGGACACAAUAUUUUCAAGUAAUAAGUCCCAUAAAGAAUGACACUAAUUCCAUAAAGUCAAACACGUGAAUAAACCUUAAGAUUUAAACUUCCCACGUCAUAAAAUCAAAUCCACGUACUAAUCUCUGACAAUCAAUGGAUAUGCCAAAUUAUCAAUGCUUUAAAAUACGUUGACUAGAAUAUAUUUCCCAAUCUCCAGAUUUAAUGCAUACAAGGUUAAUGGCAUGUAUGUCAAACCCCCCUACAUAAAACCUAUUCUUCUAAGCCCACACCAUUACGGCCUCUCUUUUCAAAUUCAAGUUAAAAACGAUGUGGGAGCUUAAUGAGAUAUCCCUCAGAGAGUUUCUACGCACCAAAAUAUAUACAGGUCAACAUAAUCACUGAGCUUGCAAAGUUUUCCAGAGCAGAUGUUCGUAACUUAAUGGCAUCGAGCCCAAUUCUUGAUGAGGCAGCACAAAACCCACAGCCCACAGGUAUACAAGCAUCUUAACCUCCAGCCAUUUACAGUCUUUCCAUUGAAACACGUCCACCGUUUCCACGAUCUUAUAUGGAGUAUAAUAUAUAUCAUCUUCAUCAACCUGCUAAAUGAUCCGUAUGACAUCAAAUUCAUCGAAGCAUCAAAAUCUCCACCAAUCAACUCCUUUCGUAAAACAUUUCAAAGAUAUAAAACUCCAUCCUAACCAAACAAAUAACUUUCAAAUGCAAAAUCUAACACAUCCAAAAACAGCCAACAAAAUUCUAAUAUUUUACAUGACAAUGACAAGUUAGGAUGAAGAUCAAACCGGAUCUACCAGAAGACACGAGUAGUUGGAUCACUAAAUUUUUUUUUUUUUUUAUAAAAUCGAAGACACUGAAUGUUAUCUCACUUUAAACUCAAACAGAAAAUCUUUAUAGAAAAUAUCAAAAUGAACUCAGGAUUAUAUUUUUAUUUGCUAUUUAUAGUCAUUUUAAUUUUAGAAAUUUUUAAAAUGCUUUAUAAAAUUAAAAUAUAUUUUCGUAUAGAAUAAUUUUUAUUGUGUACUCAACACCCGUCCGUAGGGCGGACCGACCCUAGUAUCAUAAUAAUCUAAUAUAUAAUAGAAGAGUUUCUUUCCUCCUGAGGCGACACGUCAUCACCUUUGUGGGCCCCGUUUUUAAUUUUUUUUAUUAUGUCGAGUGGGCCGUCCUUUGGUUUGGCUUGGGCCUUUUAAUUUUUUUUUCUUAUGUCGAGUGGGCCGUCCUUUGGUUUGGCUUGGGCCUUUUUGAUAUUUCGAGAUAUUUGGUUUGUCUCGUCUUUGGGCUCCGUCGUGUUAGAAAAUUGUUCAAACUAGGGUUUCCUUUCAUCCUCGAGACUGUUCUUCGACUGAGGGCUGUUCCUAUUCGGACAAAAACAUUUUCGUUACUUGAUCUCUUCAACUCCUCCAUACACCUUCUCGAAAAUGACUUCAUCCGCUACUCCAGUUGCCAAAGCCGUCGUCUGCCACUCAACUCUCUAUUAUCUCCGUCUUGGUCGUAUUGCUCAGUUCGUGGUUGCUCGCCUCCUCCUUGAUGAACGAAUGUUGUGAUCCACGGCUUCAUCUCCGCUGGUCGUAGAUAUCAUGAAGGUUCAGUUCAUCAAUGUGCGGAUCUGCAUUUAUUGCGUUUUUGAGAUAACUGGGGCACACCACAUAGGUUGAAGGGAAAAUGGAGCGUGUAAGCACAUCGCUCAAAUCCGAGAAGGAAGAUCUGGUUGCAGGACUCAGCAAGGAGAAGAUAUAAACUCUGAAGGAGUUAACAGAGACUGAUACGAGAAACACUGAGUUAUACAAGGUGAAUAAAUAAUACUGUUGCCUUUCAAUUUGGUUCUAAUUCAGUCUAUCAGUUUACCAUGUAAGCAUAGUGGACAUUUUAUUUUGGAAUAAAAUAUGGAGUGAAGUUGGAGAUGCUCUUAGACAUUAACCAACCGCAUAAACCUUAGUUUUAGAACAUGAAUGCGCUAAAAAUGGUAAUGGUCUCAGGCAAAAUCCCGUACACAAAACUACACAGCGCAUGAACAACAUAUCCGGCUCCGUGCUUGCGCGGGGGCUAUACCCCUAGUUAUUUUAUAAUAUUAUAUUUUAAUCUUAAUAUUAUAUACUUAUAAAUAUAUAUUGAUAAAUGUUGUAUAAAUACAUUAAUGUUAGAUGAUCUUGUUCCACGUUUUCAAGGAAAUUAAGUGUUUUCCUUAUCUCAACGAAUUGCAGUCAAAUUUAUUGCCUACAUGUUAACAGUCCCCCUUGUGAUGAUAAAGAUAAACUUGAAGUACGUAAAUUUUAUUACAAUUGAAGUAUGUAAAUUUUAAGUUUUAAUUUUUACAAGCAAAAUUUGUCUUAUGAUAUCAUAUACUGUUCUAAUUAAAAAACAAAUAAAAGUAUAUAAUCCAAAUUUUUAGACACAUGCAUACAUUGCCGACAAAAAAAACACAUUAAAAUAUUAAAUACUUUUUGUUGUACUAAAUAAAAAAGAAGAAUAUGAUAAUAUUUCCUCCGCUUCGUAUUAGUUAGGAAUGUCAAACAGGUUGAUCUGUUCCGUUUUGUCUCGUACCGCAGCGGGUUCGUCUUCAAGCGGGUCACGGCGGAUCAGGUCCGUGCGGACUGCAGUCCUCAAAAUGGCUGACUAAACCCGUACCGCAAAACAUGUAGGUCUUUGCGGAUCGGCCUGCAGGACAUAGAAUUACAAACGGACAUAUGGUUCCUGAACGCUUCAAUACAUGAUUCAUGAUGCUUUAUCAGUUUCAUGACGCAUCAAUAAGUGAGUUUAGUCGAGGAUUGAACUGAAUAAGGCAAUACACUUGUUAGUUGAAGAUUUUAGUUGGAUCAAAACACUAGUUUAUUUACUUUUGUUAGACUCCAAACAUUUUGAAAAAUAAACAAUACUUUAUUUGCUGAAUCUAAAUAUUAUAACUCAUAAGUUUAUAACAAAUGCUUUAAUUUUCUGAAUCCAAAAUUAAAUAAAACCAACACCAAAUCAAAGAUGCUAAUCCGAAAAAUAAAUAAAAAGAAAACACUAAUCACACUUCUUGUUCUUCAUCAUUAUCACCAACAAGCGAUAAAAACAUGGAAAUUUCUUUUCUUCACCAUCAACUUCAUCUUCUACAUAUAAGAAUAAUAGAAGUCAGUUAAAAAUAUAUUGAAACCUAAAACUCCAAAAUGUAUGAUAAUGUGAACAAAUACAUAUAGACAAAACUAUGAAAAACCCAUGGCGGAAACUAGAUCUUCUUCUUCAGUGGAAAGUGAGUUUUCAAACUUCUUAUGAUGACUUGAAGAAGCUCCACCGGUGCAGAUCGAAGGCUCUCUCUCUCUCUCUCUCUCUCUC